This 463-nucleotide ribosomal RNA is filed under the name uncultured bacterium. RNAcentral describes it as "partial 16S ribosomal RNA". It matches the Rfam family "Bacterial small subunit ribosomal RNA", at positions 28 to 507 of the family's 1533-position model. The record is from RNAcentral.
GAUGAACGCUGACAGAAUGCUUAACACAUGCAAGUCUUUGGUGAAGCUGUGCUUGCACAGCCUAGCCAAGGCGGACGGGUGAGUAACGCGUAAGGAACUUGCCCUGCAGUCAGGGAUAACAGACGGAAACGACUGAUAAGACCUGGUAAAGUCAGGCGGACUCAUGUCCAGCCUGAUGAAAAGAGAUGCUGCAGGAGAGCCUUGCGUCCUAUUAGCUUGUUGGUGGGGUAACGGCCCACCAAGGCAAUGAUAGGUAGCCGGCCUGAGAGGGUGGACGGCCACAAGGGGACUGAGAUACGGCCCUUACUCCUACGGGAGGCAGCAGUGGGGAAUAUUGGACAAUGGGGGCAACCCUGAUCCUGCAAUUCUGUGUGCACGAUGAAGGUUUUCGGAUUGUAAAGUGCUUUCAGCAGGGAAGAAAAAAAUGACGGUACCUGCAGAAGAAGCGACGGCUAAAUACGUG